Molecule: ribosomal RNA, 110 nt
Filed under: Helianthus annuus (common sunflower)
Lineage: Eukaryota; Viridiplantae; Streptophyta; Magnoliopsida; Asterales; Asteraceae
Source: RNAcentral
GUUUUGGGCGUAUUGGUUGUGGAGCAUAUGAAAACUCCAUAGUUAAGUGUCUUUAAGUGGGAGUAGUACUAAGAUGGGUGACCUCAUGGGAAGUCUCCACAGAAGCAACC